This 258-nucleotide ribosomal RNA is filed under the name uncultured bacterium. RNAcentral describes it as "partial small subunit ribosomal RNA". It matches the Rfam family "Bacterial small subunit ribosomal RNA", at positions 26 to 285 of the family's 1533-position model. The record is from RNAcentral.
AGAAUCAACGCUGGCGGCGUGCCUAACACAUGCAAGUCGAACGAGAAAGGGGUAGCAAUACCCUGAGUAAAGUGGCGAACGGGUGAGUAACACGUGGGCAACCUGCCCUUGGCUCUGGGAUAACUCCGAGAAAUCGGGGCUAAUACCGGAUAUGAAGUCGGAAGGCAUCUUCUGACUUGGAAAGUUUUUCGGCCAAGGAUGGGCCCGCGGCCUAUCAGCUUGUUGGUGGGUAAUGGCCUACCAAGGCGACGACGGGUA